AAUGUUCUGAGGCCCUGAAGUAUGUGUUGGCCGCCUAGCUUACUCUUGAGCUAUGGGAGCAGACCUGGCAGCUGCAAGGAAACUUCAGCGGGGAUGGAAACCGAGGGGUGUGUCCACCUCUGCCUGACCUUAAGUUUGCUUCUCAGGAUCAACAACCCAGGAGUUGGGGGGUCCCUUCACUGGGUGGUCAUGGCCUUGCCACGCCACCCAGCCUUCCUCAAAGCAGAGUCCCUGAAGCUUCUGCUCUGACGUCAGCACCAAGACAGCCAGGAGCCCUUUCUCCCAGACUGAGUGUGCUCUUGCCUGAGAUACACUAAAUCGAACAAGUCAGCGCUGUGUCAGAGCCGCCCAAGAACUCAACACUAGAAGAAGCAGCCACACACCUGCUGGGCAGGAGCAAAUCGUAUCUGGUUGUUUUGGAUGGAUGGCUCCCUAUGAAGAAGAUCCAGGGUCAUCACUGUGGAAGUUGAUGUUUUCUUCCUGCUGGUCAGUGUAGGUGCCCUUGGGGACAAUU
Long non-coding RNA from Peromyscus leucopus (white-footed mouse), 514 nucleotides. RefSeq lists it as uncharacterized. Lineage: Eukaryota; Metazoa; Chordata; Mammalia; Rodentia; Cricetidae. The transcript is spliced from 3 exons. The record is from RefSeq and is a predicted model, not a curated record.